This 283-nucleotide ribosomal RNA is filed under the name uncultured Alphaproteobacteria bacterium. Its description in RNAcentral is "partial 16S ribosomal RNA". It matches the Rfam family "Bacterial small subunit ribosomal RNA", at positions 508 to 790 of the family's 1533-position model. Lineage: Bacteria; Pseudomonadati; Pseudomonadota; Alphaproteobacteria. The record is from RNAcentral.
CCAGCAGCCGCGGUAAUACGAAGGGGGCGAGCGUUGUUCGGAUUUACUGGGCGUAAAGGGCGCGUAGGCGGCGGACCAAGUCGAGUGUGAAAGCCCCGGGCUCAACCUGGGAAUUGCGCUUGGGACUGAUGGGCUUGAGUUCGGGAGAGGAGAGUGGAAUUCCCAGUGUAGAGGUGAAAUUCGUAGAUAUUGGGAAGAACACCAGUGGCGAAGGCGGCUUCCUGGCCUGUAACUGACGCUGAGACGCGAAAGCGUGGGGAGCAAACAGGAUUAGAUACCCUGG